AGGGUUGUCAUCAGAAUCAUACUCUAAAAUUCCAAAAGCAAUGGUUAAAUAAAACACAAGCUCAAGAAGAAUAAAAGAAGCUACUUAGAGAGGGAAAAGUCUUUGGUUCUUCAAAAGCAUCAAUAUGUUAUAUACAGAAAUUAGAAGUAAGAUAUUGCAGAAGACAUCAAGGCAACCCAAUAAAUUUUAAUUGUUCAAAUAAACCUUCCAAAACAGGGACAUGCAGACCCUUCCACAAUCACUCACACAUACACAGUUAACAAGAAAACUAGUGCAACAAUAUGCCACAUCCAAAGCAGUCCAUACUCCAUACCCAAGACAACUGAAUAUUAAAGCAAAUACAAAAGGAAGAGAAAACUAGUGAUGCUAUAGCACAAAGACAAUGGAAUUAAGCUUAUCAUCCAAUUAUUGAAAUAUUUUAUACAUAAGUUUGAUAUAUACUUUGGCAUUAUCUACAAGGAUGUAAGCAUGCCUUAAGGUCCUAAAUUCAUAUGAUCUGUCUCAUAAAUAGGGCAUUCAUCAUUUAUAACAUUGUGUUUCGAGGUUCAAGGUUCAGAAAAUGAAAUGCACAACGCCAUAGAGCUUAGAACAAAUGUCAGGUUUUAUGAGAAGGUAAAAAGUUUUCCUGCAAAAUCUCUCUUUCACAGUUAUACAUACUCCACAAGGUA
This 668-nucleotide unclassified non-coding RNA is filed under the name Hevea brasiliensis (rubber tree). Lineage: Eukaryota; Viridiplantae; Streptophyta; Magnoliopsida; Malpighiales; Euphorbiaceae. The record is from RNAcentral.